This 352-nucleotide unclassified non-coding RNA is filed under the name soil metagenome. RNAcentral's name for it is "partial contains 5.8S ribosomal RNA, internal transcribed spacer 2, and large subunit ribosomal RNA". The stretch from base 1 to 120 matches the Rfam family "5.8S ribosomal RNA", at positions 35 to 154 of the family's 154-position model. The record is from RNAcentral.
GAUGAAGAACGUAGCGAAAUGCGAUAAGUAAUGUGAAUUGCAGAAUUCAGUGAAUCAUCGAAUCUUUGAACGCACAUUGCGCCCGCCAGUAUUCUGGCGGGCAUGCCUGUUCGAGCGUCAUUACAACCCUCAGGCCCCCGGGCCUGGCGUUGGGGAUCGGCAGAAGCCCCCUGUGGGCACACGCCGUCCCUCAAAUACAGUGGCGGUCCCGCCGCAGCUUCCAUUGCGUAGUAGCUAACACCUCGCAACUGGAGAGCGGCGCGGUCAUGCCGUAAAACACCCAACUUCUGAAUGUUGACCUCGAAUCAGGUAGGAAUACCCGCUGAACUUAAGCAUAUCAAUAAGCGGAGGA